AGUCCCGCAACGAGCGCAACCCUUGUCCUUAGUUGCCAGCAUUAAGUUGGGCACUCUAAGGAGACUGCCGGUGACAAACCGGAGGAAGGUGGGGACGACGUCAAGUCAUCAUGGCCCUUACGGGUAGGGCUACACACGUGCUACAAUGGCCGGUACAAUGGGUUGCGAAUCCGCGAGGUGGAGCUAAUCCCAUAAAGCCGGUCUAACAGUCCGGAUCGGAGUCUGCAACUCGACUCCGUGAAGUCGGAAUCGCUAGUAAUCGUGAAUCAGAAUGUCACGGUGAAUACGUUCCCGGGCCUU
This 300-nucleotide ribosomal RNA is filed under the name uncultured bacterium. RNAcentral's name for it is "bacterial SSU rRNA". It matches the Rfam family "Bacterial small subunit ribosomal RNA", at positions 1083 to 1382 of the family's 1533-position model. The record is from RNAcentral.